UGGGAAAACCAGAUGUCCGCUGUAUCCCUCGCGGGUGCAGAGGAAAGUCCGGACACCACAGGGCGGGAUACUUCCUAACGGGAAGCCGCAGCAAUGCGGAGCAGCUCCACAGAAACAAACCGCCCGGCGCGCUCCUUUUUUGGUUGCCGUUGAGAGACCGCAGCUUUUUUGUGCCGGGCAAGGGUGAAAUGGUGGUGUAAGAGACCACCGGAAGCCUUGGUGACAGGGCUUGACGGGAAUGCCUUAUCCGGUGCAAUGCCAAAUAGGGAAGCCACGAAGCGCGGCCCGCGCGGUUACGGCUUCCGGGUAGGCAGCUUGAACCCGUUCGUGAGAGCGGGUCCAGAGGAAUGGACAUCAGCCCGCGCGUGAGCACGGGCCACAGAAUCCGGCUUAUCGUUUUCCCAUGGG
This 408-nucleotide RNase P RNA is filed under the name Candidatus Cloacimonadota bacterium. RNAcentral describes it as "RNase P RNA component class A". It matches the Rfam family "Bacterial RNase P class A". Rfam says of the family: Ribonuclease P (RNase P) is a ubiquitous endoribonuclease, found in archaea, bacteria and eukarya as well as chloroplasts and mitochondria. Its best characterised activity is the generation of mature 5'-ends of tRNAs by cleaving the 5'-leader elements of precursor-tRNAs. The record is from RNAcentral. RNAcentral also lists the same sequence under 1 other name. Lineage: Bacteria; Pseudomonadati; Candidatus Cloacimonadota.